Non-coding RNA from Legionella sp., 357 nucleotides. The record is from Rfam. NCBI's taxonomy places the organism in Bacteria, Pseudomonadati, Pseudomonadota, Gammaproteobacteria, Legionellales, Legionellaceae.
AGAGUUGGUCAGGCAAUCGCUCCUUGCAAAAGCAAGGGGAGGAAAGUCCGGGCUCCAAAGGGCAGAGUGCCAGGUAACGCCUGGGAGAUGUGAAUCUACGGAAAGUGCCACAGAAAAUAUACCGCCCGCUUGCGGGUAAGGGUGAAAUGGUGCGGUAAGAGCGCACCGCGCGAUUGGUAACAAUCGUGGCAGGGAAAACCCCACUCGGAGCAAGACCAAAUAGGAAUCCAUUUGGCUGCAAAGCCAUAACGUAUGGCCCAUACGGGAUUCGGGUAGGUCGCUUGAGGCAUACGGUGACGUAUGUCCCAGAUGAAUGAUUGCCCGCGACAGAACCCGGCUUAUCGACCGACUCUUUCA